Molecule: ribosomal RNA, 897 nt
Filed under: Phryganella acropodia
Lineage: Eukaryota; Tubulinea; Elardia; Arcellinida; Phryganellidae
Description: SSU rRNA
Rfam family: Eukaryotic small subunit ribosomal RNA
Source: RNAcentral
AUCAAGAACGAAAGUUGAGGGAUCGAAGAUGAUCAGAUACCGUCGUAGUCUCAACUAUAAACUAUGUCAACCGAGGAUCCGGUAGUGUUACAUGGAUGACCUUCCGGGCACUCUCCGAGAAAUCACAAGUAUUUGGAUUUCGGGGGGAGUAUGGUCGCAAGGCUGAAACUUAAAGGGAUUGACGGAAGGGCACCACCAGGAGUGGAAUCUGCGGCUUAAUUUGACUCAACACGGGAAAACUUACCAGGUCCGGACACAGCAAGGAUUGACAGAUUGAGAGCUCUUUCUUGAUUCUGUGAGUGGUGGUGCAUGGCCGUUUUUAGUUGGUGGAGUAAUUUGUCUGGUUAAUUCCGUUAACGAACGAGACCUUAACCUAUUAAAUAGUAGUACUAAUUCAGGACUUUUAACUGAGUUCUCUCUUUCGGGGGGGGACUGGUAUCACUUGAUUGUAUCACGGGCAACCGUGGUAUGGUCUUGUGAUAAGUAUUGAUUUCAUUUGUAAUCGGCUUCUUAGAGGGACAACUUGCAUCUUUAGCAAGAGGAAGAUUGAGGCAAAAACAGGUCUGUGAUGCCCUUCGAUGUUCUGGGCUGCACGCGCGUUACACUGAGAUAUGCAGCGAGUUUAUAUUACUGGCCCGAUGGGGUUGGUUAAUCUUUUUAAAAUAUUUCGUGAUGGGGAUAGAGUAUUGUAAUUAUUGUUCUUGAACGAGGAAUUCCUAGUAAUUGUAGGUCAUCAACUUGCGUUGAUUACGUCCCUGCCCUUUGUACACACCGCCCGUCGCUCCUACCGAUGGUUGAACCGAUGAGGACUCGGGAUGGCCAAUAUUGAUAUUGACUGAAAGGUUGAUACCAUUAUGGCCAGAACUUGUUCAAAUCUUUUUAACUAGAGGAAGGAGA